ACCAGACUCCUACGGGAGGCAGCAGUGGGGAAUAUUGCACAAUGGGGGGGAACCCUGAUGCAGCGACGCCGCGUGGGUGAAGGAGUACUUCGGUACGUAAAGCCCUAUCAGCAGGAAAGAAAAUGACGGUACCUGACUAAGAAGCCCCGGCUAACUACGUGCCAGCAGCCGCGGUAAUACGUAGGGGGCAAGCGUUAUCCGGAUUUACUGGGUGUAAAGGGAGCGUAGACGGCAGUGCAAGUCCGGAGUGAAAGCCCGGGGCUCAACCCUGGGACUGCUCUGGAAACUGUAAAGCUGGAGUGCGGGAGGGGCAGGCGGAAUUCCUGGUGUAGCGGUGAAAUGCGUAGAUAUCAGGAGGAACACCGGCGGCGAAGGCGGCCUGCUGGACCGUAACUGACGUUGAGGCUCGAAAGCGUGGGGAGCAAACAGGAUUAGAUACCCUGGUAA
Molecule: ribosomal RNA, 447 nt
Filed under: uncultured bacterium
Lineage: Bacteria
Description: bacterial SSU rRNA
Rfam family: Bacterial small subunit ribosomal RNA
Source: RNAcentral